Asparagus officinalis (garden asparagus) is the source of this 1490-nucleotide long non-coding RNA. RefSeq lists it as uncharacterized. The transcript has 2 exons. The record is from RefSeq and is a predicted model, not a curated record. NCBI's taxonomy places the organism in Eukaryota, Viridiplantae, Streptophyta, Magnoliopsida, Asparagales, Asparagaceae.
UACAGUCAAGGUUCUGAAAAGCCUAAGACUGAAAAAACAAAGUUUUUAUGCGGUGAGUAAAAGAAUUCAGAGAGAAGGAUGGAAGCGAAGAGUUGAAGACGAGAGAGAGAGAGAGAGAGAGGGCACCUGAGAGCGUAGUUUUGUCAAUCUAGAAUAAGUUUAGGAAGAAAGUUAGCAUCCAAGAAAAUUGAGAAAAUAAAAAGAAACAUGACUGAAUGAUGAGGAUGCAACAACGAAAUCAUCCUCUACCCAUCCGGACACAAUCAGUUCCCUCGUAAGAUCAUGUACUCUUUACUUUCAACUUUGACAUCGGCACUGAAUGUGUUGAUAGGAGGAUCGUCUAUCAAUUGACUAGCUCGUUGAAGUAGGGCUCUGCAAAUUUCUCUGCAGUCAUGUCACGGUGAUCACUAAUGAGUUCUUCAGCUAUCAAUAGACUCUGGACACGUUUGCGCCAGAUAAAACAGUCUGCAGUUUUUAGGAAAUUUACUCAGAUAUAAGAAGCAACGUUUGACUAUAGCUAAAAAAUAAGUGUUUCUUUCCAUUCCCUCUGGAUGUGAAUUACUUUGCAGUUUCGAAACCUAGAGGGAUCUUCAGAACUGCAAAGUAAUCCAGAUCUAGAAAGAAUAAAAGAAACACUUUUAGUGAUCUGCCUCAAAAGCUGCUGCUUAUAUCUUAGUAAAUUUCCUGAAGACUGUGGACUGUUUGAUCAAACGUAAACAUGUUCAAAUUCUAUGGAUAACUGAAAUACCCAUCAGCGAUUGACGUGAGAUGACUGAAGAGGAGGUUGCAGGGUCAUAUUUCAACGAGCUUCUCCAUCGCCACAAGAUACUCCUUGGCAAAUUUUAAGGUCCGAGAGUAAAUGAUCUUAUUGGAACUACCUGUUUCCAAAUAGAUAGAGGAUAGUUUUGUUUCUAGUCCAGACAGAGCUGCAACAACCAAAUCAUCGUCGUUAGAGCUUUCUUCGGCAACGACAUUUCAUCCUUUCUUCAGCCAUGGCUCGUGCGCGGGUAUCGGUGUUCUCUCGCUCUCUCUCAGAGGGGACUUGAAGGGUUUCAUUAAUGAUCACGUUGCUACCCGCUCCUCCAGUGCGGUUGAGCACGGCCUGUCGUGUAGUCUGUGCUGCCGGAAGUAGAGGUCCACAAGAAAGCCGGUUGAUGAAUGAUGCUUCGAGGAUAUUCACUGUUCCUGCUAACUUGGCCUCAGAGGACCACACUGCUUAUUUCUGCGGUGCAGUGGGGGAGAGCGUGCUUCUAUUGUAAGCCGAAGGAAUACGAGUUGCUCUGGAACGAAAUUUGUCAACGAUUUUUGAACCAAAUUAUCUCGAAGGUAACUAAUAAUGUUAAUGCGGUGAGGAGCGCGCUUUAGUUGUCGAUCACCUGCCAACUUUAAGCCUCUGUUUCUUUUUGUUGGUCAUGUAAUGGAUGUUGGAUUAUUGGAAUAAGUGAUGUUGAAUGAUUUUGUUUCUACAUUUAUAAUGGUAUUAUUUUUGU